UGGGGAAUAUUGGACAAUGGGGGCAACCCUGAUCCAGCAAUGCCGCGUGUGUGAAGAAGGCCUUCGGGUUGUAAAGCACUUUCGGUGGGGACAAACAAGGCGGAGCUAACAUCUCCGUCCCUGAUGGUACCCAAAGAAGAAGCACCGGCUAACUCUGUGCCAGCAGCCGCGGUAAUACAGAGGGUGCAAGCGUUAAUCGGAAUUACUGGGCGUAAAGCGUGCGUAGGUGGUUUGUUAAGUCAGGUGUGAAAUCCCGGGGCUCAACCUCGAAAUGGCGCUUGAUACUGGCAGACUCGAGUGUGGUAGAGGAUAGUGGAAUUCCCGGUGUAGCGGUGAAAUGCGUAGAUAUCGGGAGGAACAUCAGUGGCGAAGGCGGCUAUCUGGACCAACACUGACACUGAGGUACGAAAGCGUGGGUAGCAAACAGGAUUAGAUACCCUGGUAGUCCACGCCCUAAACGAUGGCGACUAGUUGUUGGAGGAGUUAAAUCCUUUAGUAACGAAGCUAACGCGCGAAGUCGUCCGCCUGGGGAGUACGGUCGCAAGAUUA
This 549-nucleotide ribosomal RNA is filed under the name uncultured bacterium. Its description in RNAcentral is "bacterial SSU rRNA". It matches the Rfam family "Bacterial small subunit ribosomal RNA", at positions 355 to 896 of the family's 1533-position model. The record is from RNAcentral.